AGAGCGAACGCUGGCGGCAGGCUUAACACAUGCAAGUCGAGCGGGCGUAGCAAUACGUCAGCGGCAGACGGGUGAGUAACGCGUGGGAACAUACCUUUUGGUUCGGAACAACCCAGGGAAACUUGGGCUAAAUACCGGAUAAGCCCUUACGGGGAAAGAUUUAUCGCCGAAAGAUUGGCCCGCGUCUGAUUAGCUAGUUGGUGAGGUAACGGCUCACCAAGGCGACGAUCAGUAGCUGGUCUGAGAGGAUGAUCAGCCACAUUGGGACUGAGACACGGCCCAAACUCCUACGGGAGGCAGCAGUGGGGAAUAUUGGACAAUGGGCGCAAGCCUGAUCCAGCCAUGCCGCGUGAGUGAUGAAGGCCCUAGGGUUGUAAAGCUCUUUUGUGCGGGAAGAUAAUGACGGUACCGCAAGAAUAACGCCCGGCUAACUUCGCGCCAGCAGCCGC
This 449-nucleotide ribosomal RNA is filed under the name uncultured bacterium. RNAcentral's name for it is "SSU rRNA". It matches the Rfam family "Bacterial small subunit ribosomal RNA", at positions 26 to 518 of the family's 1533-position model. The record is from RNAcentral.